Molecule: ribosomal RNA, 253 nt
Filed under: uncultured bacterium
Lineage: Bacteria
Description: partial 16S ribosomal RNA
Rfam family: Bacterial small subunit ribosomal RNA
Source: RNAcentral
UACAGAGGGUGCAAGCGUUGUUCGGAAUUAUUGGGCGUAAAGGGCGCGUAGGCGGUGCGGUAAGUCUGUAGUGAAAUCACUGGGCUCAACUCAGAGUCUGCUGCAGAAACUGCCGUGCUUGAGUGUGGGAGAGGCUUGUGGAAUUCCCGGUGUAGCGGUGAAAUGCGUAGAGAUCGGGAGGAACACCAGAGGCGAAGGCGGCAAGCUGGAUGGGCACUGACACUCAACUGCGAAAGCGUGGGGAGCAAACAGG